CAAAGUUUGAAUAAUUUUAGAAGCAAAAUGAGUAGCAUUGCAGUGUAUAAACAUGAAAUUCUGGUACAAUAUUUAGAUUUUAUUACCAGCUACAUCCAAUAUGGGGCAAUAAAAAAUCAAGAAAAAAAUUAUCAUUUUUGAUUUCAGUUGUUUCUGAGCUUCACUUACAAAUUAUAAUAAUAGUAACAUUGAAAAUAAUUGUUAAGUAUUAAAAUGAAAAUCAUAAAUAAUGAUAAAUUAUGGUUGUAUAGAUUAGAAUAGAACUCUUCAAAUCAUUUAUACAGGUGAAUGUUUGGUUUCAUUUGCCAAAAGAGCAAGUGUAACUUAAAGGUAUAUACAUGUAUAUCCCUGACUAAUGACAUGUAAUGUUUCGUUUUAGCGAUUCAAGUUUGAAGUCACUGUAGAAUGUGUAGUAUGGUAGAGGUUUAUAAUGAGAUACUUUAGCUUGGAUUCGGAUGCAGAAGCUUUUACCAAAAGAAAACAUUCGGUAAGAGAUAACAGCAUUAUCAGGGAUCAAUACUGUUAAUAUAUAGGUCCCUGGCAUUACACAACAAUUCAUCAAUACUGUUAAUAUAUAGGUCCCUGGCAUUAUCAGGGAUCAAUACUGUUAAUAUAUAGGUCCCUGGCAUUACACAACAAUUCAUCAAUACUGUUAAUAUAUAGGUCCCUGGCAUUACACAACAAUUCAUCAAUACUGUUAAUAUAUAGGUCCCUGGCAUUAUCAGGGAUCAAUACCGUUAAUAUAUAGGUCCCUGGCAUUACACAACAAUUCAUCAAUACUGUUAAUAUAUAGGUCCCUGGCAUUA
Molecule: long non-coding RNA, 806 nt
Organism: Magallana angulata
Lineage: Eukaryota; Metazoa; Mollusca; Bivalvia; Ostreida; Ostreidae
Exons: 2
Source: RefSeq, a predicted model, not a curated record